Molecule: small nucleolar RNA, 140 nt
Filed under: Catagonus wagneri (Chacoan peccary)
Lineage: Eukaryota; Metazoa; Chordata; Mammalia; Artiodactyla; Tayassuidae
Description: Small nucleolar RNA SNORA1 (ENSCWAG00000015001.1)
Rfam family: Small nucleolar RNA SNORA1
About the family: ACA1 is a member of the H/ACA class of snoRNA that guide the sites of modification of uridines to pseudouridines.
Source: Rfam by way of RNAcentral
AGCCUCAUUCUAGAUGGAAACGGGCACUGUUGUUCACGGGGUCCAGAAACUGUUAACAUGACUACACUGAGAGAGACACAGCUUUUGCUUCAAAUCACAGUAAUCUUACUGCAGUGCUGAUAAUAUGACCUGUGAUAUGU